This 1249-nucleotide ribosomal RNA is filed under the name Brachybacterium sp. Its description in RNAcentral is "bacterial SSU rRNA". It matches the Rfam family "Bacterial small subunit ribosomal RNA", at positions 125 to 1386 of the family's 1533-position model. The record is from RNAcentral. Lineage: Bacteria; Bacillati; Actinomycetota; Actinomycetes; Micrococcales; Dermabacteraceae.
CCUGCCCCUCACUUCGGGAUAACCUCGGGAAAUCGUGGCUAAUACCGGAUAUGAACUUCUACCGCAUGGUGGUUGUUGGAAAGAUUUAUCGGUGAGGGAUGGACUCGCGGCCUAUCAGUUUGUUGGUGAGGUAAUGGCUCACCAAGACGAUGACGGGUAGCCGGCCUGAGAGGGCGACCGGCCACACUGGGACUGAGACACGGCCCAGACUCCUACGGGAGGCAGCAGUGGGGAAUAUUGCACAAUGGGCGAAAGCCUGAUGCAGCGACGCCGCGUGGGGGAUGACGGCCUUCGGGUUGUAAACCUCUUUCAGUAGGGAAGAAGCGAAAGUGACGGUACCUGCAGAAGAAGCGCCGGCUAACUACGUGCCAGCAGCCGCGGUAAUACGUAGGGCGCAAGCGUUGUCCGGAAUUAUUGGGCGUAAAGAGCUCGUAGGUGGCUUGUCGCGUCUGCCGUGAAAACCCGAGGCUCAACCUCGGGCGUGCGGUGGGUACGGGCAGGCUAGAGUGUGGUAGGGGAGACUGGAACUCCUGGUGUAGCGGUGAAAUGCGCAGAUAUCAGGAAGAACACCGAUGGCGAAGGCAGGUCUCUGGGCCAUUACUGACACUGAGGAGCGAAAGCAUGGGUAGCGAACAGGAUUAGAUACCCUGGUAGUCCAUGCCGUAAACGUUGGGCACUAGAUGUGGGGGGACAUUCCACGUUUUCCGCGUCGUAGCUAACGCAUUAAGUGCCCCGCCUGGGGAGUACGGCCGCAAGGCUAAAACUCAAAGGAAUUGACGGGGGGCCCGCACAAGCGGCGGAGCAUGCUGAUUAAUUCGAUGCAACGCGAAGAACCUUACCAAGGCUUGACAUGCACCGGGCGACUGCAGAGAUGUGGUUUUCUUCGGACUGGUGCACAGGUGGUGCAUGGUUGUCGUCAGCUCGUGUCGUGAGAUGUUGGGUUAAGUCCCGCAACGAGCGCAACCCUCGUUCUAUGUUGCCAGCACGUCAUGGUGGGGACUCAUAGGAGACUGCCGGGGUCAACUCGGAGGAAGGUGGGGACGACGUCAAAUCAUCAUGCCCCUUAUGUCUUGGGCUUCAAGCAUGCUACAAUGGUCGGUACAAUGGGUUGCGAAACUGUGAGGUGGAGCGAAUCCCAAAAAGCCGGCCUCAGUUCGGAUUGGGGUCUGCAACUCGACCCCAUGAAGUCGGAGUCGCUAGUAAUCGCAGAUCAGCAACGCUGCGGUGAAUACGUUCCCGGGCCUUGUAC